Molecule: long non-coding RNA, 7020 nt
Filed under: Nicotiana benthamiana
Lineage: Eukaryota; Viridiplantae; Streptophyta; Magnoliopsida; Solanales; Solanaceae
Description: long non-coding RNA (NBEN_LNC021057)
Source: RNAcentral
UCGUUCUCAAAACCAAACUGUUGUCGUUCAAAACCCAAUGUCUGUCGAUGAGAGUGGAAAGUUGGUAAGCAUCUAAUUGUUCAUUCAUUUAUUUAUUUAUUAGGCCUCUUCAGAUUCAAGUUGUCGGCCUUAUUAUUAAUGAUACAAUUUCUACAUUUUUUCAGGUGAGCAAUGUUGUUGUUGGCGUAACAACAACAUAGUUGCAUAUGAGUUAAAGAAGUUGUUCUUUGAAGACAGUUGAAAAGUUUUGCUCGCAUCAAUGGAAAGACGAGUAUAAAGAUGGCUCGCUGCAUAUAAAUAUGGUAGUGUCUAGUGUUAAUACUAUAGCCAAUAUACCCCUAUUUUUCUGUAACAUUUUGAAUAUGAUUGGGUGAUUGAGGCUACAGUGAUUUGUGUGAUUAUUUGGAGUCAGUUAUUGAUGAACUACGCAUUAGAUUUGUGGCGUGAAUAUGCCCAAUGACAUAAGUACAGAAUGUUAUGUACCUUAUAUGCCUGAUAUUAAUAUAUAUGACCUUGAAACUUACAGGUCUUAAGGCCUUGCUUUACGAUAUAAUAAUUACUAUAAAAUGGCGAAUUGAUCCAAAGUUAGCGAGUUCAGAAUGUGUGUAAUCUUUAUAUGUAUUUAUUUGCAUACAUUUAACUCUUUCGCAUAUGUACAUAGUUCGAACUGGAAGUACUGAAUUCGGUUGAACCGCCGGACACGUCCUGAAUUUGUCUCUAAUUAAUACUGACAUGAUAUAGUCAUAUUAUUUUAUCUGCUGUUGGAUGAAAUACACUUAUUUAUUUUUGAGUUUCUGGAAGUAAAUUUCAAGUUUGUUAGAAUAGAGUUGACAACAAAGGUUCCCAUAUGAAAGAAAUUCUAACCUAAAAAAAAUAUAUAUAUAUAUAAAUCUUGCAAGCAUGAGCUAAAUCGUAAGAGCCUUUUACUAUAAAUUGAAUUGCUGGUAAGAAAUUAACGAUUGGAACUUAUUUCUUUGAGAGUGCGUACGAUUGUCAAGAAAAUGAAAGAUAUAAUUUCUUUUGAACUUUUUCGUUCAACAACAAUAUUAAGGUAAAAUACUGCUGUCAUCCCCUCCCCCCUUCCCCACAAAAUAAAAAAUAAAAAAAAAAAUCCCAUGUAUUUAUGAAGGCUGAGCCUAAUUACUAGUUGGUUUAAUAUCUCAGUUUUCCACGCAUAAUCACCUCACAAUAUACCUACUUGAAGAUCAUGUCUAAACUUGUCCCAUACUUUAUAUACAAUAAGACUUCCAUUUUCCCACCAACUGAUUAACCUUUGAUGACAUAAAAAGUAAAAUAAUGAAAGAAGCGCCAUUAUAUAUGAAUCAACUGGCAUGAGUAGCUGCAUAUUAGAAAUUAAGCAAACACAAAAUGGCUCAAGAAAAUGGAGAAAAACCAGCUGUGGCUGCAGGAAGCAACAACCAACAGUUAGUAGGGAAAAAUAACAACACUAGUAAUUAUAAGCCUAAGGAUUAUUAUAAUUGGGUGAUGGCAUUGUUGAGGUUAUUGGCAUUUGGUGCAACAAUUUCAGCAACAUUAGUUAUGGCACUUAACAAGCAAAAGAAAACUUUUGUUGUUGCUACAAUUGGUACCACUCCUAUUCAAGCCACCCUCACUGCUAAGUUCCAGCACACUCCUGCUUUUGUGUAAUCCCUUUAAUUUCUCAUUAUUAUCUUAUAAGUCCUUUUUGUAAUUCCUUUCUAUUUUCGGUAUGCAUAAAUUAAAUUCUUGUUAAACUUAUAAAACUCUUUUUCUAUCAUUUUCAUAACAAAAAACCCGGUGUAAUUCCGUAAGUGAAGUCCCGGGAGGGUAAUGUGCACACAGAUCUUAUCCCUACCUUGUGAAGGUUGAAAGGUUGUUUCCGAUAGACCCUUGACUCAAUAAAAGCAUAGUUAUAUUAUUGUUGAACCUAUCACUCUUAUAAUUGGAGAAAAAUAUUGGUAUAAUAUAGCUAGGGUGGUGAUUUAAUUUGUGGAUAAUAUGCAGGUUCUUUGUGAUAGCAAACGGACUGUGCAGUCUCCAUAACUUGCUCAUGUUACCAGCUUGUUUUAUUGGAAGCAAAUAUGAUUUCAAGGGACUUCGUUUUUAUGUGAUUGGUGUCCUAGACAUGGUAAUCAAUCCAUUUAAUUAUCACUAAUUCCCCAUUAAAAAUAAGGUAUUUUCCUCUAGCGAUUGUGAGCUUUGGAGCGACGAUAAAGUUGUUAUUGUGUGGCCUAUAGAUCACGGGUUCGAGUCAUAGAAUCGGCCACUACUGAUGCUCGCAUCAGGGUAGGUUGUCUACAUCACAUCUCCUUGAGGUUCAACCUAUCUCCGGACCCUGUGUAAACGCGAUAUGCCUUGUGCACCGGUUACCCUUUCUUUUGCUCUAUCGAUUUUGAUUAAAUGUCUCCUUUUCAUUAAUCAUAAUUUAAUCCUUUAUUAUAUCUUUUAAAUUGUUUGGAUUUUCUAGAUGAAUGUGGCUCUAGUAUCUGGUGGGGCAAGUGCAGCAGCUUUUAUGGGGCAGCUUGGUAAAGAUGGGAAUUCUCAUGCAAGAUGGAAUAAAAUCUGUGAUAAAUUUGAUAUAUACUGCAGCCAUGGGGAAGGAGCUAUUAUUGUUUCUUUUAUUGGUUUGCUCCUUAUGAUCAUUUCGACUGCCAUUAAUAUAAUUAAGCUUAAAAACAUCCAAAAUUCUGGCAAUUAUGCCAUUAUUCCUUGAUCAAGAAGCACCAUGUCAUUUUAUAACAAUCUUUCUAUAUAUGGUUUUCGGGCUUAAUUGCACCGUGUUUUCGCCUUUGCCUAUUAAAGCAUUUAUUACUGUUACAAUUAUAAUGAAGUUUUCGUAUUGGCUUUGAUAUUCAUACUCUGAUGCCUGCAUCAUCCGAGGGUUCUUUUUCUCUUUUUUUUGAAGCGUUUGAUUUUUCUUUUAUUGGGCGAAUUGAGAGCUUGUAGAUAUCGCCAUGUCCUCCAUAAUAACCGUGUCGAUAGAGUGUUUUUGGUUUCGAGUUGGUUUGACCUUCACUGAAUUUUAAUGAAAGAAAUCCCUCUCAUCCUAAUUUCAUCUAUUGAAAAGAAGGUCAGGGGCAAUAUCUGAUUCUAUCUUUUUGGUUCUCUCUUAUAGGAAUAUAUGAAUUUAACUUAUACAUAUAGUGUAAGAAAUAUUUGUAUUGGUUACACCCCGUAAUAUUGUACAUUGAAUUGUUAUAAAAUAAUUGAUAUCAGUUUAAGGACAAGAUUAUUUUGAGGUUACAAGCAUUUAUGCUAUUUAUAACAGACGAUAAGUAAGUGCCGUAAAGGUUGGAGGGUAAACGAAUCAAAGAAAAUGUGUCUCGUCGAACGUUGUCAAUUUGGGAUAAAAUACGAUCUAAGCUGUAAUACUCGGUACUUAUGAACUAGUACCAUACAAGCUACCACAUGAUCAUAAUAAUAAGGUGUAUAAAAUAUAUUAAAAGUAAAUAAUAUUUAAGUAAUUUGAAAUAUCUUAAUUAUGUAAAUAAUUAAAUAAUUAAUAAUUUUAGUGGAAGAUUGACUAAUUAAUUAGUUAUUUGGAUAAGCUUGAUUAGCCUCCUAACGUGGCAGCCCAAGAGGUCUUGCUUUAAAGCCUAUAAUAAUAACAACAACAACAACUACAACUACAACUACCCAGUAUAGUCCCACAAAGAGAGGUCUGGGGAGGGUAAUAUGUAGACGAGCCUUACCCCUACCCGAAAGGGCAGAGAGGUUGUUUACAAUCGACCCUCAGCUCAGUAAAGGAAAGGAAAAACAAAAACAAAAAAUAAAAGAGCAUUAGUAACUCCAGCAGAAAUAGCGUAAAUAAUUAUCUAAACAUAAGAACCAUAAAUAAAAUAGUAUGCAAUAAUAUCAGACAGNNNNNNNNNNNNNNNNNNNNNNNNNNNNNNNNNNNNNNNNNNNNNNNNNNNNNNNNNNNNNNNNNNNNNNNNNNNNNNNNNNNNNNNNNNNNNNNNNNNNNNNNNNNNNNNNNNNNNNNNNNNNNNNNNNNNNNNNNNNNNNNNNNNNNNNNNNNNNNNNNNNNNNNNNNNNNNNNNNNNNNNNNNNNNNNNNNNNNNNNNNGCAUAGCCCUGCCAAGCCUCACCCAACCCCGGGUGAGGAGUACGAAAAACUCUAUGAGCCCCUCUCCUAUACUAGACCUCCAGACUUUCCUAUCAAGGGCCAUGUCCUCGAAAACCCGCAUUCUAGCUCUUAGGCCUCCCCCUGCCUCACCGUACGCCGGCAAUCGCCAGCCGCUCACAACUCCUCACCGAGGCAUCAGGACUUCUCCGCACAUGUCCGAACCACCUCAGCCUCGCUUCUCGAAUCUUCUCAUCCACUAGGGCCACCCCCACCUUCUCUCGAAUAAUGACUCUUAAAUCAAAGAUGGAAAAAUUGGAAGAAUUUUGGUGGCCAAGUAAUAUGUAAGUGGGGCCCAUACCCAGAUUUAACACUUCUCUAAUUCACUUGUGUCUACAAGGUAACGAAGAAACCUUCACCAAACUCUUAAGAGAUUAUAUUGUGUGAUAGCGACGUAAUUUGCUACGAACAAAAUUCAUACUAGUCUUCAUAAGGUAUUAGCAAUUGAAAUUGCGAUCAUAAGAAAGUACGGCAUAAUUAUUCUUAAGAAUAUUAUAUAAAUUUUGUUUUAUUUUGAUCUAUCAUUAUAUAUUUUUUCAACGUAUGUUGGAAGGAUUGUCAAAAGAAUUGGCUCAUGUAUGUUAAAACCACCAUCCCGCAUGUGUCCUAUUUGUCACACCUUCCUUUUCUACCCUAGACGGGAUAUAAAGGAAUUUUUUUUAAUUCAAGUACAAUCGAAACAAAAUUAUUUAUUUUAAAUUCAGAGUUGCAAUUUGAGAUAAUUUAUGGUACCCCAAUUCACCGGUUUUAAAAUCCCUAAUCGAGGAUGGUUGACUCUAUUGAUGGGUGUGAACGCAGCAAUCCGGAUACGAAAUUCUUUAACCCGAGAUAAGGUGUCUGGCAUUCCCAAUUUCUGUGAUUUUAACACGGUCACUUAACUAUUAUUAUUGACCUAAUUAUAUGAUUAAUUACAUAUGUUAUACCUUGUACAUUUUUAAACCUUUGACCACUUUUAAUAUUUUUAGGAAAAUUCAUGAUCUUCAAACACUCGUCAUGUUUUUAAAGUAUAUCAUAAAUCACAUUACAUAAAAUGCACCCGCAGUUCAUGAUAUAUUUACUUUAUUUAACAUUAUUAAAAGUUGAAGUCACGUCACAUGAAAUGUAUAACCGGAUCUGAGAAUUAUGUUACACAACUGUCUCACAGGAACCGUACUUGGAGCCUUGAUAAUUUUUAGGUUGCAAAUGAACAGCGAAAUAAUUUUAAGAACAAACAUGAUCGAAUUAACAGGAAUAUAAACUACAAGCUACCUAAACUUGAAGGCAAAAGAGAAAAGAUUGAAUUAAACAGAAAACAAUGCAGGCCUUCCUAAGAAAAAGCUUCAUUUUUAUCUUAUUAUAAAAAUGAAGAUACCACAACUCCAACUCAAUUAAACAUGAAUUAGCUAAUUUUGCAACAGAGAAUGAUGAACUAUUUGACUAAAUCGAGUUAAACACAACAGAAGAUCAAUCAAAUGAUUUCAAUAAAUUCCCAAGAAAUUAAAUAUUCGACUCACACCUAAAUUCGCAAAUGUUUUUAACUAACAUCAAGCACGUAAUAUCAACAAGAGCAAACAGCUGACACCAAACAAUCCUUAUAAUGAGAACAAAUUCAAAUAAAACAAAAAAAAUAAUGACAAACUCGAAUUCAGUCUUCAUGCUCGAGAUCAUUAAGUUCAACACUCAUGAACAUCACAGGAAACUAAUUUUGCCAUUAUGAUAAAAAACAUGGACUAUCGUGCACUUAGCAAGAAGAUCAGAACCUUUUAAAAUGAGAAGAUCUAUGGACGCGAGCAUAAGAUUUUUAGCCUCAAUUAACAAUUACGAAAUUUGACCGGCCUGUAUCGGAAUAAAGCAGAAUAGGGCAAGAUUGACAUUCAAAUAUAUAUAGAAAUCUAAAUAUGACCUCAAACAUUCAGACCAAAUCAACAUCAAAUUUAAAGAGAGAAUCAACACCAAAACUAAAGAGGGCGUAAGAAGAUGAACCUGAAAUAGAAACUUUCAUUUGAUAAUAGAAGUGAGGUCGACUAUAAAGCUUUGAUUCCAAAAUCCCAACAAGAAAAUAACAGCAAUUCAACCCAAGAAACAGUGAACCAGCAGAAUGACUCGGUCAAUCAAACUCCUCAAAACUUCAGUUGAAUUCAAUUUUUCAACCAAAAUUUCGAAAAUAAAACAGAGAACUUCACUCAAUCAAGACCCAUUCUAGAGAAACAGAAAUCAAGAAAAACAAAAAGUGCUGAUAUCUUUUUUGGCGAGUUUUUGAUUUCUUUUGAAAUGAAACAAAACUCCAAAAAAAAUCAAACUCAAACUAUUUUUGUAUUUUUGAUUUUUUUUCUGGAAUGUAAACCAAGCGUGAAUAAUUUGAAAGAAAACUCAAAGAACCCUAGAAUUUUUAACUCUUCCAAUUUAUCCAAAAAAUCUGUUCUCCCAAAAAACUAACUUACCUCUGAAGAAAAAUCCCAAUAUAUAAGGGAAUCUCGAACCUUCUAUCUUCCUUCCCAAGAUAUCCCCCAGAUUUAAUCACAAAUCCGAAAAAACCCAGUCUCACAUAGAACAAAACUCGGACAAAUGGAAGGUGUGAAUGUGAUUUCUCACGUCCAACCGCUCACAUUCACCCGAGAUUCAAAAGCGCGUGCGAAUGAUGUGAAGCUGAAAAUAUUCUGUCAGAGAAGGUUAUGCCACGUUGGAGAGAUGAAAGGAGGGGCCAUGUGCGAUGAGUUUGGGGAUGAACUCGUUUGAAACUGAGACGAGUUUGGACGAGCUUGGGCGAGCAUAAUCGGAGCUGGGUGGGCGCCGUUUCCAUGUUUCUAGGUUUAGGGUUUCAUUUUCUAUGGAAAUGUUGUAAUGGGGAUUAUAUAUUAAAGGGUAGCGGGGGUGGGUCAAAGGGAGCGGGUCGCAGGUUAGGGGUAUUUUUGGGCUGGGCGGAUUUGGGUAUGAAAGGGA